GAUGAAGAACGUAGCGAAAUGCGAUAAGUAAUGCGAAUUGCAGAAUUCCAGUGAGUCAUCGAAUCUUUGAGCGCACAUUGCGCCCUUUGGUAUUCCGAAGGGCAUGCCUGUUCGAGCGUCAUUAUCACCCCUCAAGCCCUCGGCUUGGUGUUGGACGGUUUGGUGGAGGCCCCCUCGGGGGCUCCUGCCCCUCCCAAAGACAAUGACGGCGGCCUCGUUGGACCCCCGGUACACUGAGUUCUUCACGGGACACGUAUCGGACACAUGGGUUUACGGGACACGGUCUGCCUCCCCUCAGGGAGAAUCUUUCUAAGGUUGACCUCGGAUCAGGUAGGGAUACCCGCUGAACUUAAGCAUAUCAAUAAGCGGAGGA
This 373-nucleotide unclassified non-coding RNA is filed under the name soil metagenome. RNAcentral describes it as "partial contains 5.8S ribosomal RNA, internal transcribed spacer 2, and large subunit ribosomal RNA". The stretch from base 1 to 121 matches the Rfam family "5.8S ribosomal RNA", at positions 35 to 154 of the family's 154-position model. The record is from RNAcentral.